CCCUUAGAUGUCCUGGGCCGCACGCGCGUUACACUGAUGCAUUCAACGAGCUUAUAACCUUGGCCGAGAGGCCUGGGCAAUCUUGUUAACGUGCAUCGUGAUAGGGAUAGAUUAUUGAAAUUAUUAAUCUUGAACGAGGAAUUCCUAGUAAACGCAGAUCAUCAAUCUGCAUUGAUUACGUCCCUGCCCUUUGUACACACCGCCCGUCGGACCUACCGAUUGGAUGGUCCGGUGAAGCCUCGGGAUUGUGGUUCUUGCCGCUUUAUUGUGGCGUGACCGCGAGAACUUGUCUAAACCUUAUCAUCUAGAGGAAGGUGAAGUCGUAACA
RNAcentral lists this ribosomal RNA (328 nucleotides) under uncultured eukaryote. RNAcentral describes it as "partial 18S ribosomal RNA". It matches the Rfam family "Eukaryotic small subunit ribosomal RNA", at positions 1470 to 1796 of the family's 1831-position model. The record is from RNAcentral.